Long non-coding RNA from Dioscorea cayenensis subsp. rotundata (Guinea yam), 1909 nucleotides. RefSeq lists it as uncharacterized. Lineage: Eukaryota; Viridiplantae; Streptophyta; Magnoliopsida; Dioscoreales; Dioscoreaceae. The record is from RefSeq and is a predicted model, not a curated record. The transcript has 5 exons.
CAUCCAACUACUGCGAUUUCUGAAUGAGAUAACCCUCGUCGGCGAGCUGACGAGCCGCGACACCAUAAAUGAUGGAACCCGGUGCCGGCGAGAGGCAACGAUCCCGGCAGAUGUCGAGAUGUUGCAGCACUUGCUCGGUGACAUCGGCUCCAAGGUCGAUGAGGAGAGUGGAUGAGGUGGAGAGAAGGGGCAAGGGUAGGAAGGUGGGUAAGGUAUUAAAGUUCAGGAUGAUGCGGAGUUGAGCUUCCAUGUACUACUCUAUCCUCACUCUGUUGCAGUCCUCUUAGUUUGCUUUAAAAUCUAAGAUAAUUAACCUAUGGAUUUCAACAUCAUCAAGAAUUGGAUGGAACCAAAGAAUGGCACUGGAUACAAAAUAGUUUGAGAAGUAUAUGCAAGAUGUCGAUUAUUCUUCACAAAUGCUAUAGCCUAUUAUGGCAAGAAAAAUGAAUAUCAUAUAAUAUCUGAGACUUUGCUGCACAAAUUUUAAGGGAAGUGGCUCCAGUUAUUGCUAAUGGUCCUUGAAGAGGAAAGAAAACAAGAGGAGUCAUAACAAGAGCUGCUAAAGUAAAUAGGCAGAUUGCUCAAGGGACUGCUAUCAUGAAAAUAGCAAAGGAUACAAGUGAUGAGGUACGUUGAUCCUAUAUACCUGCAAAACACUAGAUCCAAAUCUUUUUUAUGCAUGGAAAGCAAAAUCAAUGGUGUGCUUAAGUGAUAGGUGCAUAUGAUUUUAUUUUUCUCCUGUUGAGACUGAAGGAAUGUUAAAUUUGACACCUAGUUUGAGAUUGAGCUAGAAAAGAAUAAGAAAAUAAUAAAUUCAGGCUCAGCCUUGUGCUCUUCUCCUGCAAAGGAACUAAAAGGAAUGGGCAAGAGAGAAACAUGUUAGCAUUAUGGAUGAAUCGCAUGUCAUACUGUGGAUGUAUUUUUAUUUAGCAAUGCAUACCAAUACACCCCAGGAAGCAUCUAGAAUUAAAGAGAAGCAUAAUCAAGACAUUGUUCUAGUAUUUGUUUUCUAUUUCCUAAAACCAUGAAUGCUUAGAAAAUUGCCUCGUCCUGUUCACUAUGAUUUUGGUUUUAUUUGAUAGUAAAACCAUGAAUGCUAUGAGUUCUGAAAGAAUAAGGCUGGAAGAGGAAUUUCGAAAGUGUUAGAUUUGUGCUUUAGGGAUUAUAUUGAUGUAUUAUGAUGCUAUAUGAAUAAUAUUUAUGAUAUUAUCGUAAAUGAUGGAAGUUUGCUGGAAUCAAUGGAGGUGGCCAUUUUGUAAAAGAAUAACCUGAUUUUAAAAGAUAAUGGUAUGUAUUAAUGUUUAAGAAGUAGAAGAUCCAGUUAGCUUAAACAUAGGAGCCCUGUUUAUCUUGCUUCAGUUUUCACAUCCCACCUUGUGUGGCUUUUGCAAAGUCAAAAUCCUCUCAUUUAUGACACUCCCCAAGGAUAAAAAGGACAAUACCGCUGCAUUAAGGAAGUGAGUUUUGUAUUAUGUAUGAAAUGAGGUGCUCAAUCGCAUAUUUUAUAAAUUCAUUCAAAAUUUCAUUCUAAUUCUUGAUGCUUGCUUAUCUAUUGCCCCCUUUCUUCUUUUAUAGACUUCUUUCAUUUUUUUUUUUUUGGUCUAAACUAAUGCCUUUUUCUCCUUUGUUUAAUGGAUCAUUAGGGAGGGGAUGAUUCUGGAAUUUUUAUUUGUUGUUACCUUUGAACUAUUUUUUUUUCUUAUGCUUCUCAUAAACUUGAAUUUCACUUAUCAUGGAAGUGCCACUAAAUGAAUCCUGAGUCCUGAUAUAUACAUCUGAAUCCUGUCCAGUUCUUUUUUACCCUUGCCAAGCUUGUUUGGAGGGUAAGUAAAUUGGAAGACUCUCAAUCUUUGUUGUAAGAUGCAAUUGGAAGUGUCUUUCUCUGGACAAAAAGGUGGUUGUGAAUACA